Molecule: ribosomal RNA, 256 nt
Filed under: uncultured bacterium
Lineage: Bacteria
Description: partial 16S ribosomal RNA
Rfam family: Bacterial small subunit ribosomal RNA
Source: RNAcentral
GACGGAGGGUGCAAGCGUUGUUCGGAAUUACUGGGCGUAAAGGGCGCGUAGGCGGUCUGUUAAGUUCGGUGUGAAAGCCCUCGCUUACCCGGGGGAACUGCGCCGGAAACCGACAGACUCGAGUACCGGAGAGGAGGGUGGAAUUCCUGGUGUAGCGGUGAAAUGCGUAGAUAUCAGGAGGAACACCGGUGGCGAAGGCGGCCCUCUGGACGGAUACUGACGCUGAGGCGCGAAAAGCCGUGGGGGAUCAAACAGG